This 23-nucleotide small nuclear RNA is filed under the name Arabidopsis thaliana (thale cress). Its description in RNAcentral is "snRNA_04669". Lineage: Eukaryota; Viridiplantae; Streptophyta; Magnoliopsida; Brassicales; Brassicaceae. The record is from RNAcentral.
GGAUUAAUGGCGCAUGCGAUGGG